RNAcentral lists this long non-coding RNA (378 nucleotides) under Phoenix dactylifera (date palm). RNAcentral describes it as "long non-coding RNA (PDAC_LNC005657)". Lineage: Eukaryota; Viridiplantae; Streptophyta; Magnoliopsida; Arecales; Arecaceae. The record is from RNAcentral.
AGGGGGAGCAAUUUGUAACAAUGAAAAUCAUCAAAUCAAAAAUUUCUAUCAAAUUUCAGAAUUUGGCACAUAUAAAUUCAGAAUUUGGCACGCACUUCUCGCACCCCGAUACAUAACCUGAAACUCAUAUUUUAUCUCAAAUUUUUUGAAGUUUCAUCGCUAAUGAAUUAUAAAUGAAAGGGGGAGCAAGUCAAAGAGUCAAAUUGGCAAUAUUUAAAUGAUAUAGGGGAAGAUUUCACUCUUAUAUAUGAAAAGCUGAAAUUCAGCAAUUUAAACCCUUUUAUAAACUGUUUUUAAAGACAAGUAUCAAUAGGCUUAUACUCUUUAUUUUGUAAUCAUCAAAAAGGGGGAGAUUGAGGAUGAUAGUGUUAUUUUGAU